This 253-nucleotide ribosomal RNA is filed under the name uncultured bacterium. Its description in RNAcentral is "partial 16S ribosomal RNA". It matches the Rfam family "Bacterial small subunit ribosomal RNA", at positions 524 to 776 of the family's 1533-position model. The record is from RNAcentral.
UACGUAGGGUGCAAGCGUUGUCCGGAAUUAUUGGGCGUAAAGAGCUCGUAGGCGGUCUGUCACGUCGGAUGUGAAAACUCGGGGCUCAACCCCGAGCCUGCAUACGAUACGGGCAGACUUGAGUCCGGCAGGGGAGACUGGAAUUCCUGGUGUAGCGGUGAAAUGCGCAGAUAUCAGGAGGAACACCGGUGGCGAAGGCGGGUCUCUGGGCCGAUACUGACGCUGAGGAGCGAAAGUGUGGGGAGCGAACAGG